UUGUAAUGAUGAUGUAAACAAAUAUAUUUGGGAAAAUAAUCAGCUGUUAUCAGCAGCAGCAGCAGUACCUCAUAGUAACAGCACAAAACCCUUAAUCACUCUGCCCUCUUUUCCUGUGUGCUAUUAUAUGCAUUUCUAGGCUGUGAUGGUGCUUCACUAUUUGUUUUUGAGUUGUGAAUAUCAGGAAGGGAGCUAAUUGGACUUGUAUCUUUUUGUGGGGUUUGGGGGUGGGGGCAACCGUGAUGGCAUUUUUUGAGAUGGAUUUUCCAGAGUCCAUGACAUGCAAUUGGGUGUGCAGCCAUGUUGGUUCCCAUUCCUCUUAGUCUGAUUUUUACUGUACAUAUCUGGGCCUUUCUCUAGUUAGUGUGUGUGUGAGAGAGAGAGAGAGAGAGAGAGAGAGAGAGAGAUUUGUUGUGAUUUAGUUGGCAGUAGCAACAAGUGGCUCUGCCAUGGUGGGAAUCUUUAGCUAGUAAAUUUAGCUCAGAGAAUGACGCAAAUAGAGAGAUGGGAUUCCCUCAUUGUUUUAUGCCUAUGAUUUCUUCGUUAAUUAACCAAAUUUAAAAACCGUCCUUGAUUUCCAGUAAUCAGUGCUGCUGCUGCUGCUGCUACUACUACUAAUUGAAACUUAGACUGUAGUUAUAAUUCUAUGUUAUUUGGUUUGCUCUUUGACCAAAGGCCUUGGAGAAGUAUAGGAAAGAAAAGACUAAAGUGUUGACGGCUAGGAUGAUAUUUGUAGUGAGCUAGGAAAAAAAGGCAUUGAUUUUAUAAAUUGACCCAUAUCUUGGUAGGCAACCUGGAUGGCACAGUUAUUACUUGGGUGUUUCUGUGUAUUAGUUUCUUUCACUAUAGCGCAACUAGUGAUUUGCAGCCAUGGCGGUGUCACAAACUUAAUACUUGGUCAAAUUCAGAUCUGAGCCUUGUGUUCUUGUUGUUUGCAGUAUUCUUGUGUUGAAGUCACAGGCAUAGAGUGGCCAUGCAUUUAUGCAGCUUGUGCAUUUCUGCUUAUCCUUGUUCAAAUAAGAUCUCUUUGCGACUUAUGAUUCUGGGUUUUCUUCAGGCGUUUUUCUCAUUUCUGAUGUGCUAAAUACUGCUAUUUGCGCUUGUUUAGCCUUUUACCAGUUCUGUAAAAGUGGAUAGCUCAUUGUUUUGGUGAAUUGGGUCUUUUAGUCCCUGGGUUGAUAGUCUCCUUGUUUUGGUGCCAAUGAGGCCUUGGUCUAGUGGCUAAGGUUGAGGCCUUCGGAAUUAGAAGUCCUGGGUUCAAAUCCCCCUGCCCCUCAUGCUUCUUAAGUCCCAUCCCUUCCCUGCUGGAAAAAAAUUAAAAAAUAAAAGAAGUGGUGAUUUUGGUUCAAUAUAGAUUUUUCUACCUCUGUCGUUUUCAAUGUAAUUAUUUACAAGUCUGCAUUCAUUGUAGAUGAUUUGUUGUGUUUUGGUUGCUCUCUAGUGCUACUUGCAUUGGAUAUGAACAUACAUUUUUUAAGCUGUAAUUAUUCAAUUUUUGGAAUUUUGAAGUGUAUUUUCCAAGGCUUCUGUCACUCCACCCAAGCUGUUGUAGCACAAUCUGCAUUCUUUCAUAAUCAAAAGUUGAAGACUCAGGCGCAAGAGAAAUAGGGAUUUUCAAUGGUGGUCAAUUUCUCCCUAAUCAGAUUUUUCAGAGGCUGUGGUGUUGCUCACUUCCUUCUAAUCUAAGGAAUGAAUGAGGGUUAUGAUCGGGUUUGAACCUCCAUGAUAAAACAACCAGAGGACUGAAAACUAGGAGCUCCAAGACUGAUUGAGGCAUCAGAGAGAUGUGGGAUUUCUUCAAGGAGUGUUGCCCCUCUCCGUUUUUAGCCAAUGAUGUCUUCUUCUUCUUCUUCUUCAAAAGCCAACAACCCUUCUGUUUAAUUUAGUGUCCAUCCUUCUCAGGGUUUAAUUUCACAGAUCACCCUUUUGUACUACUACUGCUAGCAUUCACUGGAACCAAACAUGGCGUCCGACAACUUUGCAAAGUUUCUUGGGCCUAGUUUGGGAGUUUGAGAGAGAGAGAUAGAGAGAGAGAGAUUUUGUAUGGUCCCAUAAAAAAUGGCUGUGAUGAUUUUACAUCUCUGAAUGGGAGCUGAGUUGUUUUUUUCUCCCUCAGGGCAAUUGAGGUGAACCGACCCGUAUCUUGGCAGGGCAACCCUGAUGGCCUGCAUGCAACAGGGUUUUGCAGCCAUGGCGGUGUUUCUCUACUUCUUUGCCCAAAGCCUAAAGUUUUUAAAAGAUCUGAGCCCAUUUUUCUCAAGGUUCACAUCGUUAGCAUGCCUUUCUGAAAUUGUCCCUUUACUCAUGUAGCCUCUAAGGGAUGAGGCAUUAUACUUCUUUCAACUGAAAGAUCGAAAGAAUGAUGGGGCAGAGAGAGUGUACUGUUGGGGCGAGUUUCUAAGGGUGGCUGCCCCUCUCUGCAUUUCCCCCAAUGAUUUCUCAGUCCUCAAACAAGGAAGAAAGAUAAACCACCCUUGGAAAACGAAAAAGAAAGGAAUUCACAAAUAUCGUAUUAUUUGUUCUGGUUCUGGUACUGUAGCUGUGAUGCAAUUCACACGUGCUUUGUGAUGCAAUCCGGAUGGUAUGUUUUUAUGGGUUAUCCCUUCUCACAUGCAACUCGAUUUGCAGCCAUUGCGGAACCUUUCCCCCUUUACCCAUUUCUUUUAUAAAACUGAGCCUCGUUUUUUGUGUGUGUUCGAAUCUUGUAGAAAUCCUCCUUGAAUAGUGGUACCUGUCACUGGUAAUUUUUAGCUCUAAGAAUGAGGCAUCAGGGAGAUGGGAUUUCUUAGAAGGGUCGUUGCCCCUCUCUGUUUCGCCUGUGAUUUCUUCAUUACCCAAUGCAAAACCAACGGCCCUUCAUUACUAGUAUCUAGUAGUAGUAGUAAUAAUAAUAAUAAUCAGACUUCAGAAUGCAGCUGAUAUUGAGCUUGUUCUUGUAUGCUUUAGAUUUUGUAAAAGCUGAUUAUGGAAAGUGGCACUAGAGAAUAAUCAUAAUCAGCUGAGGCUACUCAUUGGUGGAUUUGGAUUUCAGAUUUUUUGGCCAUUAACAAAUGUAAAAUGCAGAUGCAAAAAAAAUUAUAAAAAAUGAUUAUCCAAAAUUAGAAUCUAUGAUCAGGUGAAAUAAUAGACUGAGAACAAGCCUGUUGUUUCUGCUGCUGCUGGUGUUGUUGUUUUUGCUCUUUGAUGAAUCCAAAACAGAAAGAGGGUAGAAGAAAGUAAAGGCUGUGAUGAUGUUUCUUAUGAGCAAUGGAAUCAGGCAUUGAUUGAUGAGAAGUUGACCCGCAUCUUGGUAGGGCAACUCGGAUGGCAUACUGUUUCUAUGGGAGUGGUUGAUGACUGAUUAUGUUCCCUUUCAUGUAACCGGUGAUUUGCAGCCAUGGCGGUGUCACAUACUCAAUGCCUGAUGUACAAAUCUGAGCCUCAUAUUCAUCUUGUUUUUCUCAUUUCUCUGCCGGCUUUUCUCAUAACUGCAUGGCCCAAUAUGAAUCACCACCAUGGCUCCAUUGGCUUUUUGUUUCUAUACACCAACACCGAGAUUUUACUGGAAAGGGUGCUAUUCUGCAAGUUUGUCAAGUGAUUGAUGCUGUCCUUGAUAUUAGAUUCAAGGAAGGAGGGGUGCCAAUUUGAUGGCGCCGGAGGUGGUUUGAUAAUCAGAUCCAACUUGUAUUUGAGUUGGCUCAGCAUACAAGGGAGAAUUUGUUAGGUGUAUCUAUGGGCUACUCCAGGUCUUGUUUGUAGGCAGCAGGUGCCCAACAACUACUCCCGUAUUACGGUGCCUGUUGGUAGAGCUGCUCUUGGCCGUAUCAUAAGCGUCAUUGGAGAAGCUAUUGAUGAUCGGAGGUGAAAUUAAAACUGAAAUUAUUUGCCAACCUGUAUUUAGGCCUCAGCUUUCGCUGGUCAGUCUAGUGAACCAGAAAUUCUUGUUACUCGAACUAAGGUUUUACAAUUCUGCAGUUCUGCGCAAUUCAACUUGUCCUUGCAUGUGUAUGAUGCUAUUCAUGGCUCUUGUGAUUUUGUGUUCUGUUA
Molecule: long non-coding RNA, 4026 nt
Organism: Coffea eugenioides
Lineage: Eukaryota; Viridiplantae; Streptophyta; Magnoliopsida; Gentianales; Rubiaceae
Exons: 2
Source: RefSeq, a predicted model, not a curated record